RNAcentral lists this ribosomal RNA (430 nucleotides) under uncultured bacterium. Its description in RNAcentral is "bacterial SSU rRNA". It matches the Rfam family "Bacterial small subunit ribosomal RNA", at positions 917 to 1344 of the family's 1533-position model. The record is from RNAcentral.
GGGCCCGCACAAGCGGUGGAGCAUGUGGCUUAAUUCGAGGCAACGCGAAGAACCUUACCUGGUCUUGACAUGCCCGUCAUAGUUUUCCGAAAGGAAUUCGUCAGUUCGGCUGGACGGUGCACAGGUGCUGCAUGGCUGUCGUCAGCUCGUGUCGUGAGAUGUUCGGUUAAGUCCGGCAACGAGCGCAACCCUCGUUCCUAGUUGCCAGCGGGUAAUGCCGGGGACUCUAGGAAGACAAACCUCGUGUAGAGGUGGGAAGGUGGGGACGACGUCAAGUCAGUAUGGCCCUUACGACCAGGGCUGCACACGUGCUACAAUGCCCAGCACAAUGGGAUGCAACGCCGCGAGGUUGAGCAAAUCCACAAAACUGGGCCCAGUUCGGAUUGGAGUCUGCAACUCGACGGCAUGAAGUCGGAAUCGCUAGUAAUCG